Molecule: ribosomal RNA, 443 nt
Filed under: uncultured bacterium
Lineage: Bacteria
Description: partial 16S ribosomal RNA
Rfam family: Bacterial small subunit ribosomal RNA
Source: RNAcentral
CCUACGGGUGGCAGCAGUGGGGAAUAUUGCACAAUGGGCGAAAGCCUGAUGCAGCAACGCCGCGUGAAGGAAGAAGGGUUUCGGCUCGUAAACUUCUAUCAACAGGGACUAAAGAAAUGACGGUACCUGAAUAAGAAGCCCCGGCUAACUACGUGCCAGCAGCCGCGUUAAUCAGUCGGGGGCAAGCUUUAUCCGUAAUUAAUGGGUGUAACGGGUGAGUGGGCGGCUAGGUAAGCCGGAGGUUAAAGCAUUGGGCUUAACCCGAGGAUUGCAUUUGGAACUAUCAAGCUAGAGUACAGGAGAGUAAAGCGGAAGUCCUAGUGUAGCGGUGAAAUGCGUAGAUAUUAGGAAGAACACCAGUGGCGAAGGCGGCUUUCUGGACUGAAACUGACGCUGAGGCACGAAAGCGUGGGGAGCGAACAGGAUUAGAUACCCUUGUAGUC